GACGAACGCUGGCGGCGUGCUUAACACAUGCAAGUCGAGCGGUAAGGCCCUUUCGGGGGUACACGAGCGGCGAACGGGUGAGUAACACGUGGGUGACCUGCCCUCAGCUCUGGGAUAAGCCUGGGAAACUGGGUCUAAUACUGGAUAUGACUCCACGGUGCAUGUCGUGGGGUGGAAAGCCUUGUGCGGCUGAGGAUGGGCCCGCGGCCUAUCAGCUUGUUGGUGGGGUGANGGCCUACCAAGGCGACGACGGGUAGCCGGCCUGGAGAGGGCGACCGGCCACACUGGGACUGAGACACGGCCCAGACUCCUACGGGAGGCAGCAGGUGGGGAAUCUUGCGCAAGUGGGACGAAAGCCUGACGCAGCGACGCCGCGUGAGGGAUGGACGCC
This 391-nucleotide ribosomal RNA is filed under the name uncultured bacterium. RNAcentral describes it as "bacterial SSU rRNA". It matches the Rfam family "Bacterial small subunit ribosomal RNA", at positions 28 to 416 of the family's 1533-position model. The record is from RNAcentral.